RNAcentral lists this ribosomal RNA (478 nucleotides) under Meloidogyne incognita (southern root-knot nematode). Its description in RNAcentral is "eukaryotic LSU rRNA". It matches the Rfam family "Eukaryotic large subunit ribosomal RNA", at positions 433 to 885 of the family's 3401-position model. The record is from RNAcentral. Lineage: Eukaryota; Metazoa; Nematoda; Chromadorea; Rhabditida; Meloidogynidae.
GGGGAUGUUUGAGGCAGAUUUGUGUCCGCCGUUUUGAGGCCAGCUUGCUGGUACCCAAACGGUGUUAGCAUUUUUUGUCUUGAACAUUUGAGUAUGGCUUACGGGCAUUCAUUGGUUCGAUCUGAGUGUAAGUUACGGUCGCAUGCGACACGUGCUUUCCAAUUAGUUCGGUCCAGUUAAUGCUCUCGUACUCGUUCCCCAUGUAAAAGCCGGUCAUCUAUCCGACCCGUCUUGAAACACGGACCAAGGAGUUUAUCGUGUGCGCAAGUUUUUGGGUGUUAAAAACCUAAAGGCGAAAUGAAAGUAAAUGGCUCUUUAGAGUCUGAUGUGCGAUCUAGUAAAAAAGUGCAGCAUGGCCCCAUUCUAACUGUUUACAGUAGGGUGGAGGAAGAGCGUACGCGGUGAGACCCGAAAGAUGGUGAACUAUUCCUGAGCAGGACGAAGCCAGAGGAAACUCUGGUGGAAGUCCGAAGCGGUU